Molecule: long non-coding RNA, 1670 nt
Organism: Bos indicus x Bos taurus (hybrid cattle)
Lineage: Eukaryota; Metazoa; Chordata; Mammalia; Artiodactyla; Bovidae
Source: Ensembl
CACUGCUCUCAGAGCUCCAGAAUUUUCCAUAGUAUUAACAUAAUAAAAAUUAUAGCUGCCAUGGAGUAUUAACUAUCUGAUGGUGCUACUGUAGCCUUCUUUACGUAAUUCUUAAAAUGACCCUUCUGAGUACUUAUUAUCCUCACUUUAUAACUGAGAAAACUGAGGCUUAAAAUCCUUAAGUAACUAAGUAGCUGAGAUGGGAUUUAAUUCAGGUCUCCCAGUCUCUAAAGCCCUUGUUCUCUCCAAGAUAUUGUCUUCUAAUUGUUUUCUUUACUUUUAGAAAAAGCAUGUAUUGCAGUCUACUCCCUCUAGUCUCUGACCUAUGACCAUCUUUAAUUCUGCAUGGAAAGAUUUAAAUGAUAAAGAGAUUUAAGUGAUUCAAGUAAUCAAUUUCUGAUUAUCUCAAGUUGCCAAACAAAGUGAAUUUGUCCCAUGAGCCAAGACCUUUCACCAAGAAAAGCAAUAAAACAAACACAUUAUUUUAUCUUUCAUUAUGUGGUUUUUGACUCCCAGUGAAAGCAACUCAGCUGUAAAAUUAAGAAACGAAAACCAAAUGGUUCACAAUGAAGUUCUGGAAUCUGUUCUCUUUAACAGGACCCAUCGUCUUAACAAAUGUUCGGUUUGUCACACUAUCAAGACAAGCAAAGGGAAGCUGUUUGUAACAUGACACUCAGCCAUGCUACAUGAGACCAAAGUGAUCUCAAACGUCAGAAGGAAAGGCUCUCUCUCUUUAAAAACCAGAUGCCACAUAAGAAGUUGGAAAGAUACUGGUAUUUGUUCAGGAUCUCAGAAGACCUCUCGACUCACGUGAGCCUGAUUUCCCUCUUUGUGGGUGAAGUGACAUUCUUAAUGAUGAUUUGAGAUGUCAGGCAGAGCCAGAAGACAGUCACCCACUGGCGGCCUCCAUGGAGAUCUGAGCCCUGUCCUACCUGGGGAAGUUAUACCUGGGCCUGGCCUCCCUCCACCAUUAGCCCAGCGUGCAGUCUGGAGACCCAGCUUCACAGACUUUGCCCCCGUGUGUCCCCUAUGAAGGGCAGACAGGACCAAUGCGGUGAUUUGACAUAUGUAUGCAUUGUAAAGCGGGCACCGCAGUCAAGUUCAGUAACACCCAUCACCUCAUGAAGUUGCCAUUUUGUGUUUGUGUGGUGAGAACACUUUAAGAUCUACUCGCUUAGCAAAGUAUGACUAUACUAUGCUAUGCUAUGCUAUGCUAAGUCACUUCAGUCGUGUCCGACUCUGUGUGACCCCAUAGACGGUAGCCCACCAGGCUCCCCCGUCCCUGGGAUUCUCCAGGCAAGAACACUGGAGUGGGUUGCCAUUUCCUUCUCCAAUGCAUGAAAGUGAAAAGUGAAAGGGAAGUCGCUCAGUCGUGUCCGACUCUUAGCGACCCAAUGGACUGUAGCCUACCAGGCUCCUCCGUCCAUGGGGUUUUCUAGGCAAGAGUACUGGAGUGGGGUGCCAUUGUCUACAACACAGUAUUUUUAACUAUAGUCGCCAUUCUAUACGUUAGAUCCCCAGAACUUACUCACAUUAUAACCAGAAGUUCACUCCCUUGGACCAGCAUCUCCUCAUUUCCCCCAUCCCUAGCUCUGGCAACCACCAUUCUAAGUCUCUGUUUCGGCUUCUGGGAAUGAACAUUGUUUAGAAGCCACAUAAAAGUAAGAUCA